RNAcentral lists this long non-coding RNA (1507 nucleotides) under Pogona vitticeps (central bearded dragon). RNAcentral describes it as "lncRNA (ENSPVIG00000003711.1)". Lineage: Eukaryota; Metazoa; Chordata; Lepidosauria; Squamata; Agamidae. The record is from RNAcentral.
AUCCGGGGAUCCCAAGUUGAGAAGCACUACAUUAGAAUAAGAAUCGAUACCUAUGAAUUUAAAAUACCAGUUUUUAAAUUAAGAAAUAUAAUAGAAUAACAAUACUAAGCUGAGAACGGCAGAGCUGGAAGGGAUCACGGAGUCAAGGAGACAGACACUGUGGGGAAUUGAACUCCCAACCUCUAAACCACUGGACUAUCCAGUGGAGCUAUGCAGCAAAGAUAUAGCAUGCACCAUCGGCCACAUUUUAUAAAAUUCUGCACAGCAACGUUUUUUAAAGGGGCUUUAAGAAAAGAAGCCAGUGCCGCCAAGCUUGGAGAGGAGGAAAAUGUGGAGGAAAACAGUGUCUCUAACCAUUAAGCAAGCCGUGGUUCCAAUAAAGCUUGCUUCCUCCUUCAUUCCAGCAAUCUAUCAAAGCACCGACGCCUCCAUAAAAUCCUGGCACACGGCUGGGUUCAUUCACAGCCUCCUGUGCACUUCCUCCAGCGGCACUGAAUGAGAUCCGAGCUUUUGAAGGAACAUUCCUGGCCCAGGAAAAAUGUUCCCUCCCUGUGUUAUCUGCAUACCUUUCUUAACACAGAACCAGGUCUUUGACCCGUCAAGCAAAGCCAGGGCAAACGCACACAUAGUGGGAGCGAAAUUGCACUCUGCUGCACGGAGGCCUUCCUUCCAAACCAGAAAGCAGGAAUGAAUUCUUCCUUGAUCAUUCACAUGGGCUGGGGUGGGCUGGCAGGGGGGGAAGCUCCUCCAUGGACGUCCACGGAGAGGGGCCGCUUAUGUGGAGAGGUGAGCAGGUGGACUCUGGAAGGCUCUUCCCCAAGCGCUCGACUCUCGCCCACGCGGAUGUCAUCUCAGUGUCGAGUUCGAAGGUUCUGCUGGCGGACCGCGGAGACGAUGGCCAUCUUGUCUUCACCACAGGCGUCGAACCAUCUUCUGUUGGACCCAUUUAAUGACAGCAUCUAACGUGACAUCCAGAAGACCUGAUUUGCCAUACUAGACAAUGCCGCCCUUCUGAAAUUCUUCGCCAAAAAACUGGCGAGAGGAAAUCGCUGCCCUAAUGAAGCUUCUUCACAAUAGUUUUUUUUAUAAAGGCAGGAGGAACAUGGUGGUAUAUAUUCCAUAUCUUGCCUCCAAACCUUAAAUUAAACAUUAUCUCCAUCCCCAUGUUCUUCAGCACAGUCUGCCAUAACCAGAGUGAGGGGUAAUGAAACUACAGCAAUGUGAUUCAAACUGUUGGAUAGAACCAGUGUUUAGAUAACUGGCUGCGGGGCCAGAGUUUGGGAGUUCGAUUCCCCGCUGUUGGAUAGACCAGUGUUUAGAUAACUGGCUGUGGGGCCAGAGUUUGGAAGUUCGAUUCCCCGCUGGUGGGCCUCCUUGGCAGCGGGCUGGAGUGGAUGAUCUCACAGGGUCCCUUCCAGUUCUGCCGUUCUGAGAUAAGCUAAAUAGCUACUGCAAAGCAGAGACAACAAACAUUAAAAUACAAUAAAACAGAGAUCAGAAAUAUACA